GGGACUUUGAAGAAAGGAAGACUAGGAAAUGUCCAUCCUGCUCAUCUUAACAGGGAGAAAAAUCAGAAACAUUCACCCUGUCGACAUUAGGAAGGAAUAUUCAGAGUCCUAGAGAUUUUCCUGGAAACUUUUCUCUACCACUCCAUUUGAGCAAUGAGACAUCUUGAACAGAGGCCAUAAACUGGACAAAGGAAAAUGAAGACUGCUAUUUGGCCUCCCUUGCCUAAGGCCUGGACUAGAUCUAUUCAAUAGAACUUCUGCCUAAGGAAUUCAGAGCUGGUGCUAAACAGCAUUGUAGGGAAGAAGAGAGAUGAAUGGGUACAGUCAAGUCUUGGUCGCUCAAGCACCAUGUAUUGCCAUCAAGCAAAUACUUUGCUCUGCAAAGUAUUUAUACCUGAGGUACCUGGCCAUGACCCAGCGUGGUAAGAACAUUGCUGUGAGAACCUGGACCAGAGUCACUGUGGAAAAAGAUGUUGCCUCAUUGUGGAAAGAUUUUUACAAUCUGCAAUUUGCUAUAGGCCAGCAAUCCUCCCACUGACAGCCUUUUUUGAAAAAAAAUUAAAAAUAAAUUUAGAGUUUAUGCAUAAUAAAAACUUUAUG
Canis lupus familiaris (dog) is the source of this 600-nucleotide long non-coding RNA. RefSeq lists it as uncharacterized. The record is from RefSeq and is a predicted model, not a curated record. The transcript has 3 exons. NCBI's taxonomy places the organism in Eukaryota, Metazoa, Chordata, Mammalia, Carnivora, Canidae.